Molecule: transfer RNA, 72 nt
Filed under: Camelus bactrianus (Bactrian camel)
Lineage: Eukaryota; Metazoa; Chordata; Mammalia; Artiodactyla; Camelidae
Also listed under: 1 other name
Rfam family: tRNA
About the family: Transfer RNA (tRNA) molecules are approximately 80 nucleotides in length. Their secondary structure includes four short double-helical elements and three loops (D, anti-codon, and T loops). Further hydrogen bonds mediate the characteristic L-shaped molecular structure. tRNAs have two regions of fundamental functional importance: the anti-codon, which is responsible for specific mRNA codon recognition, and the 3' end, to which the tRNAs corresponding amino acid is attached (by aminoacyl-tRNA synthetases). tRNAs cope with the degeneracy of the genetic code in two manners: having more than one tRNA (with a specific anti-codon) for a particular amino acid; and 'wobble' base-pairing, i.e. permitting non-standard base-pairing at the 3rd anti-codon position.
Source: Rfam by way of RNAcentral
GAGGGUGUAGCUCAGUGGUAGAGUGCAUACCUAGCAUACAUGAGGUCCUGGGUUCAAUUCCCAGUACCUCUG